AUUGAACGCUGGCGGCAGGCCUAACACAUGCAAGUCGAGCGGAUGAAGGGAGCUUGCUCCUGGAUUCAGCGGCGGACGGGUGAGUAAUGCCUAGGAAUCUGCCUGGUAGUGGGGGAUAACGUCCGGAAACGGGCGCUAAUACCGCAUACGUCCUGAGGGAGAAAGUGGGGGAUCUUCGGACCUCACGCUAUCAGAUGAGCCUAGGUCGGAUUAGCUAGUUGGUGGGGUAAAGGCCUACCAAGGCGACGAUCCGUAACUGGUCUGAGAGGAUGAUCAGUCAACCUGGAAUUGGGAAACGGUCCAGACCCCCACGGGAGGCAGCAGGGGGGAAUUUUGGAAAAGGGGCGAAAGCCUGAUCCAGCCAUGCCGGGGUGGUGAAGAAGGUCUUCGGAUUGUAAAGCCAUUUAAGUUGGGAGGAAGGGAAGUAAGUUAAUACCUUGCUGUUUUGGCUUUACCAACAGAAUAAGCCCCGGCUAACUGCGU
RNAcentral lists this ribosomal RNA (483 nucleotides) under uncultured bacterium. Its description in RNAcentral is "partial 16S ribosomal RNA". It matches the Rfam family "Bacterial small subunit ribosomal RNA", at positions 30 to 506 of the family's 1533-position model. The record is from RNAcentral.